Molecule: unclassified non-coding RNA, 380 nt
Filed under: Hevea brasiliensis (rubber tree)
Lineage: Eukaryota; Viridiplantae; Streptophyta; Magnoliopsida; Malpighiales; Euphorbiaceae
Source: RNAcentral
CAAAAAUGAGGCAUAGGUGGUUCAGAUAAAAGAGUAGAGGGUAAAGUUAAAGGAGCAAAUUUAUGUUCAAAUUAGCUAUUGUAUGCAUCAUGUUGUUAUUAAUUCAAAUUGUUGCAUGUUGAGAUAAAAGAAGUAACAUAAGAGAUAAAAAAAAUGGACUGUUGAAGAAAUGUGAGGUUAGCUAAGUUAUUAUUUUGUGUGCAUGCGGGAAUUGUGACAUGCAUGUUCUGAUGAGCUUUUGAAGGAUUUGUGCCAGAAAGGGCAUUGUAAGCUAGAUGCAAUUGUUUUGCGUUUACUUUUAUAGGUACUAUUUUCUUGUUAAUUAUUUUUAGUCUUCUGAAUUGUGGUACAGGGAUCUUACCCAAUCAGAGAGGGAAAAG